Long non-coding RNA from Megalobrama amblycephala (Wuchang bream), 516 nucleotides. RefSeq lists it as uncharacterized. The transcript has 4 exons. The record is from RefSeq and is a predicted model, not a curated record. Lineage: Eukaryota; Metazoa; Chordata; Actinopteri; Cypriniformes; Xenocyprididae.
CUAUUGAAGAAGAAGGAACAUACAGAGCUGCUAGUAGCCAUUGUUCAGUCUCCUAGCCAGGAUCUCGAGUUCCUUUUACAUCACAAGGAAUUCAAUGCACUGAGGCCACAUGAAUGGUUAUUUGGAGAGACUAUUGAGUGCUAUUUCAGAGCUGUACUUAAUAAGGAGGAUGCAAAUCUCUACCAGCUAAGCCAUUACACCACAGGUGUCAUUUUAAAUGGCACAAGAGAGCAGAUGGAACAGCAAGGAUUUUGAAAAGUCAACUUAGAGCAAUAUGAUGGGGUCAUCACUUUUGUCAAUAUCACUAAAAAUCACUGGAGGUUUGUGUUUGUAUAUGCUCAGACUGACACCCUUUUCGUGCUUGACUCUCUGAGUGGUACAAAUGAAAUGAAACGAAAAGGCAUGCCAAAAAUUCGGGUAUGAUAGUCUGUUUUAAAAAAAGAUAUUUAGCAUGUGUAGAUCCAAAACAGUAAUAAUGGAAACUAAGCAAAGUUCAUGUUGUGUAAGACUACCAUA